AGUUCGGAUUGCAGGCUGCAACCCGCCUGCAUGAAGUUGGAAUCGCUAGUAAUCGCGGAUCAGCAUGCCGCGGUGAAUACGUUCCCGGGCCUUGUACACACCGCCCGUCACACCAUGAGAGUCGGGAACACCCGAAGUCCGUAGCCUGACCGCGAAGGGGGCGCGGCCGAAGGUGGGUUCGAUAAUUGGGGUGAAGUCGUAACAAGGUAUC
Molecule: ribosomal RNA, 211 nt
Filed under: uncultured bacterium
Lineage: Bacteria
Description: partial 16S ribosomal RNA
Rfam family: Bacterial small subunit ribosomal RNA
Source: RNAcentral